This 245-nucleotide ribosomal RNA is filed under the name uncultured bacterium. RNAcentral's name for it is "partial small subunit ribosomal RNA". It matches the Rfam family "Bacterial small subunit ribosomal RNA", at positions 26 to 284 of the family's 1533-position model. The record is from RNAcentral.
AGAAUCAACGCUGGCGGCGUGCCUAACACAUGCAAGUCGCACGAGAAAGUGGAGCAAUCCACGAGUAAAGUGGCGCACGGGUGAGUAACACGUGAAUAAUCUACCUCCGAGUGGGGAAUAACUGAGAGAAAUCUUAGCUAAUACCGCAUAACACUUACGAGUCAAAGGCAGCAAUGCGCUUGGAGAGGAGUUCGCGGCAGAUUAGUUAGUUGGCGGGGUAAUGGCCCACCAAGACGAUGAUCGGU